UGGGGGAUAUUGCACAAUGGGCGAAAGCCUGAUGCAGCGACGCCGCGUGGGGGAUGAAGGCUUUCGGGUUGUAAACCUCUUUCGCUAUCGAACAAGGCCCGCUUAGGGUGGGUUGAGGGUAGGUGGAGAAGAAGCGCCGGCUAACUACGUGCCAGCAGCCGCGGUAAUACGUAGGGCGCGAGCGUUGUCCGGAAUUAUUGGGCGUAAAGGGCUUGUAGGCGGCUUGUUGCGCCUGCUGUGAAAACGCGGGGCUUAACUUCGCGCGUGCAGUGGGUGCGGGCAGGCUUGAGCGUGGUAGUGGUGACUGGAAUUCCAGGGGUAGCGGUGGAAUGCGGAGAUAUCUGGGGGAACACCGAUGGCGAAGGCAGGUCACUGGGCCAUUACUGACGCUGAGGAGCGAAAGCAUGGGUAGCGAACAGG
This 420-nucleotide ribosomal RNA is filed under the name bacterium. RNAcentral describes it as "partial 16S ribosomal RNA". It matches the Rfam family "Bacterial small subunit ribosomal RNA", at positions 355 to 776 of the family's 1533-position model. The record is from RNAcentral.